CCAAAGGGUAACAUAAUCAAGUAUGUAAAGGUUACUAACUUUGAUUCCCGUAUUGAGACUGAAAGCCUUGUUAGUUCCAUUUUACACACACAGAAAAGACUGCCAAGGAUACAGUCAGAAUGAAGGCUGUAAAAACUUGGAUGAAUGACGAUUGUGGACCAGAUUUAGGAGGUGGCGGUCCCUCACCAGUUGGAUCAAGAAGAUCAUCAGACUGAUAGCAACGAUGCAGAUUGAGUGAGUGGCGUGCUAGCUAGUAAUCAUUGCUAGGAACAAAUAUGAUUAUUUUUUUUAACACUCUGGUUGAACUUAACUCUUUUAAACUUUUAUAUAGAUGAUGAUGUAAAUUUGGAGUUUAUGCAAAUAACCCCAUCUAAUUCAAAAGUUUGAUUGGCAAUGUGGUCUGCUAAAGCAUUUCAUGAUUUCGUAAAUAUGUGAGAAAAUUGGCAUGAAUUGAUAAGAAUUUUGAUUUCCUCAACCAUAGUGACAAUGUUCUAUGGAAUAUCCCAUAUGUGUUCCAAGAUGUUUUUAUGCACCAAGAAACCUGGCUUUCAGCUGCACCUCUAUAAUAUCAUUUGCCACAAAAUAAAGCAAGGCUCUGAGUGACUCUAUGAGAAAGAACUUUAGUCCACAUCAAGAAGAAUUGAAUAGAGCAAGGUUUCCGAACCACUACAAAAUUUUUAGAGGGUCUUGAUCUAGAAGAGGCAAGGAUGCUAGAUGAGUAGGACAUAGUUUACUGAAGCAGAAGAGUGUUUUGGAGACAAAGCCGAGAAGGGUGUGGUCAAAGAACGAACUCCUGAGAUUCCAGAUGUUAGUAAUGGAAAUGAUUGUAUUGCAAAAGACCAUUUCUCCUCGAGAUGAGGGAAUGAAGUACGUCAUCAAGAAGAUUCCGUCCCACCCAUUGAGAUUCGGCACGGCAUAUAGGGCUAUUUUUUUUUUUGAUGAUUUUGAAUCAUCAAUAGGUGAAGAAGGUAUAAAGUUAUUUAGGCAAUCCAUAUUUGGUCACUACUUAGAUAUGCCAAACUGUAAUUUUCAAGGGCAAAUCAUCAAAUGUCUCUUACUUCUUGAGGUAGAACAAAAAAACAAAGAGGAAUUGCACAUUCGUCACGUGCAGGGUAAUAUACUCUGAUUUAUAAUAAAG
Molecule: long non-coding RNA, 1138 nt
Organism: Solanum dulcamara
Lineage: Eukaryota; Viridiplantae; Streptophyta; Magnoliopsida; Solanales; Solanaceae
Exons: 4
Source: RefSeq, a predicted model, not a curated record